AGCGUUGCGCAGUGUCGGUACCAUAGUCAAGAGGGUUAACGACAGGCGUGGUUAUUGCUAAUUCAAAACAAUAUUCCGAGCCGACGACCGGAUAUAUUGGUGGCACGUCCAAUUUAUGGACGUCCUCACGAGGA
Dreissena polymorpha is the source of this 134-nucleotide small nuclear RNA. RefSeq annotates it as U4 spliceosomal RNA. The transcript has a single exon. Lineage: Eukaryota; Metazoa; Mollusca; Bivalvia; Myida; Dreissenidae. The record is from RefSeq and is a predicted model, not a curated record.